CCUCAGGUGAUGCACGUGCCUCAGCCUCCCAAAGUGCUGGGAUUCCAGGCGUGAGCCACUGUGCCCGGCAGAACAGGCUUUUGACUCUAAGAUUUAUCUACACACACACACACACACACACACACACACACACACAAAUAAGGGCUCAGUUUGGUGCUUUAGAUGGCAUUAAGAAAUUAAUUAAAGAAAGAAAAAAGAUUAGAAAAUAUUCUAAUGCAUUACAGGUCAUAAAGGUAAGUAAUGUUUUGUGAAGUUUCAAAUAUAGAAUAAAGGUACUAAAAUCACAGUGUAAAAUUAAUUUUAUUUUGUGGAUUCCAGUAAGGAAAACAAAAAACAAAAAACACCAGAAACAAACAUACUGACAUCAGGAUGCUCUCAUCCCUUCAGGCUAUUCUUCCUUGGUAAAGUCACUUGACUGCUGACAGUCUGUUUCCUGGACUAUAAAAUGAAGAUGCUAUGAAUACUGCUGAAGUGACUAACUGAUGACGUAUCAAUGUCAAACAUAAGUAUCGGUGAAAGAACUAUUUUGAAAUAAACAUCCUGGUUAAUCACUAAGGUCUAAGGAGGAAAACUGAAGACGAAGUUCAACAGACCCGUCACUAGUGGAGCCUGGCUUUCUCCUUGGAGAAAGCAGUAACCAGACUCUACCUAUUACAAUGAGAAGCUGCACUCAGGAUAAUUAUGGCUCGGUAAACCAUCAGCAUUCAGCAGGCAGUAAUUGAAAUUUCAUAGGCUCAUUAGCAGGUGGGAGAGGUACUGUGGCUGAGAGCUGCCAGCUGAGUAGAUUGUACAGUAUUGCAAUUUGUCAUAAGGCACUGUACUGCUACUAUGUUAAAAGGAAAGCAGGAAAAUAAAAGGUACUUUUUCUU
This 869-nucleotide long non-coding RNA is filed under the name Homo sapiens (human). RNAcentral's name for it is "HSALNT0380925". Lineage: Eukaryota; Metazoa; Chordata; Mammalia; Primates; Hominidae. The record is from RNAcentral.